UGGGGAAUAUUGCACAAUGGGCGGAAGCCUGAUGCAGCGACGCCGCGUGGGGGAUGAAGGCCUUCGGGUUGUAAACUCCUUUCGACAGGGACGAAGCUUUUGUGACGGUACCUGUAUAAGAAGCACCGGCUAACUACGUGCCAGCAGCCGCGGUAAUACGUAGGGUGCGAGCGUUGUCCGGAAUUACUGGGCGUAAAGAGCUCGUAGGUGGUUUGUCGCGUCGUCUGUGAAAUUCCGGGGCUUAACUCCGGGCGUGCAGGCGAUACGGGCUGACUUGAGUGCUGUAGGGGAGACUGGAAUUCCUGGUGUAGCGGUGAAAUGCGCAGAUAUCAGGAGGAACACCGAUGGCGAAGGCAGGUCUCUGGGCAGUAACUGACGCUGAGGAGCGAAAGAAUGGGUAGCGAACAGG
This 409-nucleotide ribosomal RNA is filed under the name Actinomycetes bacterium. Its description in RNAcentral is "Actinobacteria bacterium partial 16S ribosomal RNA". It matches the Rfam family "Bacterial small subunit ribosomal RNA", at positions 355 to 776 of the family's 1533-position model. Lineage: Bacteria; Bacillati; Actinomycetota; Actinomycetes. The record is from RNAcentral.